Molecule: long non-coding RNA, 810 nt
Filed under: Physcomitrium patens
Lineage: Eukaryota; Viridiplantae; Streptophyta; Bryopsida; Funariales; Funariaceae
Description: long non-coding RNA (PPAT_LNC014187)
Source: RNAcentral
GAAGACUUGAUAAUAUUUCUGUAGGCGUUAAUUUUUAGAGAUUUGAAUGGAUAAUAACUUUGUAAGAGCUUUCGAAAGUUGAUGUUGUAUUCAAUGACUUAGAUUUUUGGAAAAUAAAAUAGGAUCUAUGUUUUGGACAAUUUUAGGAGUUUGGUAAUAGAUCUAUGGAUAAAACUUUUUGAAUUUGUGGAUGUAGUUGUGCUUGAUAUAUAUAUUAUGAAUUUGGAUUUGAUUGAAUAAUUAGAUUGAAAAGCAUGAAGGAUUUUGUGGAUUAUGGUCUCAGAAUUUAAGGUUUUAAUUAGAUUGAAAAGCAUGAAGGAUUUUGUGGAUUAUGGUCUCAGAAUUUAAGGUUUUAAGGAUGAGUGAGGUUUUCUUAAAUAUGUAUCAGUCUGCUAUUUACAUUGAGAUAGAAUUUUUUAUAAAGGUAGUCAGCUUGAUUUCUAAUAAGUAUGUAAAGUUUGGAAGCAAUGUAACAAUUCAAUCAAGAGUAAUUGGCUUUGAAAGAUUGGCAUCAAGGUCAAAGAAAGAGGCCAGCCAACAUCGGAGCUCAUUUUUUAGGUUAUUGUCUAUUUGGUAAUUCCAUUCCUUUUCAAUUGAUUUUUUGCUUAUUUUUUACUUAAUGAAUGAAGAAUGUAUAAAAUUUGAGUUGAAAUCAACAGUUCAAAUAUUAAUUAUUGAAUUUUAAAUUUUUUUGUAAGCUUAUUAGAAAUUUGUUUGAGAUUUAAAAAAUUCAUUAGAAUUUGAUUAGGAUUAGGAUUUGAUUAAGAAUUAGGAUUUGAUUAGCAUAAGGAUUUUUUUAAAAUUAGGAUU